This 524-nucleotide long non-coding RNA is filed under the name Lactuca sativa (garden lettuce). RNAcentral's name for it is "long non-coding RNA (LSAT_LNC008124)". Lineage: Eukaryota; Viridiplantae; Streptophyta; Magnoliopsida; Asterales; Asteraceae. The record is from RNAcentral.
GGAGGAUGAACAGGUAUGGUUUGCUGGAUGAGAGCCAAAACAAGCUCGAUUACGUUCUUGCCCUCACUGUUGAAAACUUCCUUGAACGUCGUCUCCAAACACUCGUCUUCAAAACUGGAAUGGCCAAAAGCAUACAUCAUGCUAGAGUCCUCAUCAAACAAAGGCACAUCAGGUAACAACUUCGACCUCACUCCACUCUUCAAUGGCUUCCAAACAUCUUCUCUAAGUUCAUUUUCAUGAUUUUUUUUUCUGAAUCACUAGAGUUGGAAGGCAAGUUGUGAAUGUUCCAUCGUUCAUGGUGAGGGUGGAUUCACAGAAGCACAUUGAUUUCUCACUCACGAGUCCAUUUGGAGGUGGGAGACCUGGUAGAGUUAAGCGAAAGAACCAGAAAGCAGCUGCAAAGAAGGCUUCAGGUGGUGAUGCUGAUGAAGAUGAUGAAGAAUGAGAGCAUUUGAGUAGUAGUUCUUGUGUUUGAUCUUAUUUGCCACCAUGAGGUUUACAAGUGAGUGUUUUGUUCUUUGUUU